This 73-nucleotide transfer RNA is filed under the name Stegodyphus mimosarum. It matches the Rfam family "tRNA". From Rfam's summary of the family: Transfer RNA (tRNA) molecules are approximately 80 nucleotides in length. Their secondary structure includes four short double-helical elements and three loops (D, anti-codon, and T loops). Lineage: Eukaryota; Metazoa; Arthropoda; Arachnida; Araneae; Eresidae. The record is from Rfam by way of RNAcentral.
ACCUUCGUGGUGUAGUGGUCAGUACGCUCGACGCGUAAUCGAGUUGUCCAUGGUUCGAUUCCCAGCGAGGGCG